AUUUCACUAAUCAUUAUAUUUUCUCCUGUAAUCAUCAUCUCAUCUAUUAUUUUUACCCGUCUAUUACACCCUCUCGCUAUAGGACUUAUACUACUUUUCCAAACCAUCAUAAUCUGCGUUACAGCUGGUCUUUCAAUAAAUUCUUUCUGAUUUUCUUAUAUUCUUUUUCUAAUUUUUUUAGGAGCUAUAUUAGUUUUAUUUAUCUAUGUUGCUUCUUUAGCUUCAAAUGAAUCAUUCAGAUUUUCUGGGUCAUUAUCGUUUAUUGUACUAUUAAUCCUUCUCACUAGCUUAGCCCUUAUAUUUUUAGAUCCUCUAAUGCUCUCUAGCUCAAUAUCAAUCCAGCAAUCUUCACUAUGUAAUACUCAAUUUUCUUCUACUCCUAUACUAUUAAGUACCAUUUAUAAUUAUACUACUAUAAACCUUACUCUAUUUAUUGUGCUCUACUUACUUCUAACAUUAAUUGCAGUUGUAAAAAUUACUAACACUUUUUUUGGUCCUUUACGCUUAUCAUCUUAA
This 516-nucleotide unclassified non-coding RNA is filed under the name Penaeus japonicus. RNAcentral describes it as "nADH-ubiquinone oxidoreductase chain 6". Lineage: Eukaryota; Metazoa; Arthropoda; Malacostraca; Decapoda; Penaeidae. The record is from RNAcentral.